RNAcentral lists this ribosomal RNA (428 nucleotides) under uncultured Comamonas sp. Its description in RNAcentral is "bacterial SSU rRNA". It matches the Rfam family "Bacterial small subunit ribosomal RNA", at positions 355 to 775 of the family's 1533-position model. The record is from RNAcentral. Lineage: Bacteria; Pseudomonadati; Pseudomonadota; Betaproteobacteria; Burkholderiales; Comamonadaceae.
UGGGGAAUUUUGGACAAUGGGCGAAAGCCUGAUCCAGCAAUGCCGCGUGCAGGAUGAAGGCCCUCGGGUUGUAAACUGCUUUUGUACGGAACGAAAAGCCUGGGGCUAAUAUCCCCGGGUCAUGACGGUACCGUAAGAAUAAGCACCGGCUAACUACGUGCCAGCAGCCGCGGUAAUACGUAGGGUGCAAGCGUUAAUCGGAAUUACUGGGCGUAAAGCGUGCGCAGGCGGUUUUGUAAGACAGUGGUGAAAUCCCCGGGCUCAACCUGGGAACUGCCAUUGUGACUGCAAGGCUAGAGUGCGGCAGAGGGGGAUGGAAUUCCGCGUGUAGCAGUGAAAUGCGUAGAUAUGCGGAGGAACACCGAUGGCGAAGGCAAUCCCCUGGGCCUGCACUGACGCUCAUGCACGAAAGCGUGGGGAGCAAACAG